AUACGAAAGGUGCAAGCGUUGUUCGGAUUUACUGGGCGUAAAGAGAGUGUAGGUGGUUUAUUAAGUCGGAUGUGAAAUCCCGGGGCUCAACCUCGGAACUGCAUUCGAUACUGAUAGGCUAGAGUUUGGGAGGGGUAAGCGGAAUUCCGUGUGUAGCAGUGAAAUGCGUACAUAUACGGAGGAACACCUGAGGCGAAGGCGGCUUACUGGACCAAUACUGACACUGAGACUCGAAAGCGUGGGUAGCAAACAGGAUUAGAAACCCCAGUAGUCC
This 274-nucleotide ribosomal RNA is filed under the name uncultured bacterium. Its description in RNAcentral is "partial 16S ribosomal RNA". It matches the Rfam family "Bacterial small subunit ribosomal RNA", at positions 523 to 796 of the family's 1533-position model. The record is from RNAcentral.